RNAcentral lists this ribosomal RNA (1535 nucleotides) under Escherichia coli. Its description in RNAcentral is "bacterial SSU rRNA". It matches the Rfam family "Bacterial small subunit ribosomal RNA". The record is from RNAcentral. Lineage: Bacteria; Pseudomonadati; Pseudomonadota; Gammaproteobacteria; Enterobacterales; Enterobacteriaceae.
AAGAGUUUGAUCAUGGCUCAGAUUGAACGCUGGCGGCAGGCCUAACACAUGCAAGUCGAACGGUAACAGGAAGCAGCUUGCUGCUUUGCUGACGAGUGGCGGACGGGUGAGUAAUGUCUGGGAAACUGCCUGAUGGAGGGGGAUAACUACUGGAAACGGUAGCUAAUACCGCAUAACGUCGCAAGACCAAAGAGGGGGACCUUCGGGCCUCUUGCCAUCGGAUGUGCCCAGAUGGGAUUAGCUAGUAGGUGGGGUAAAGGCUCACCUAGGCGACGAUCCCUAGCUGGUCUGAGAGGAUGACCAGCCACACUGGAACUGAGACACGGUCCAGACUCCUACGGGAGGCAGCAGUGGGGAAUAUUGCACAAUGGGCGCAAGCCUGAUGCAGCCAUGCCGCGUGUAUGAAGAAGGCCUUCGGGUUGUAAAGUACUUUCAGCGGGGAGGAAGGGAGUAAAGUUAAUACCUUUGCUCAUUGACGUUACCCGCAGAAGAAGCACCGGCUAACUCCGUGCCAGCAGCCGCGGUAAUACGGAGGGUGCAAGCGUUAAUCGGAAUUACUGGGCGUAAAGCGCACGCAGGCGGUUUGUUAAGUCAGAUGUGAAAUCCCCGGGCUCAACCUGGGAACUGCAUCUGAUACUGGCAAGCUUGAGUCUCGUAGAGGGGGGUAGAAUUCCAGGUGUAGCGGUGAAAUGCGUAGAGAUCUGGAGGAAUACCGGUGGCGAAGGCGGCCCCCUGGACGAAGACUGACGCUCAGGUGCGAAAGCGUGGGGAGCAAACAGGAUUAGAUACCCUGGUAGUCCACGCCGUAAACGAUGUCGACUUGGAGGUUGUGCCCUUGAGGCGUGGCUUCCGGAGCUAACGCGUUAAGUCGACCGCCUGGGGAGUACGGCCGCAAGGUUAAAACUCAAAUGAAUUGACGGGGGCCCGCACAAGCGGUGGAGCAUGUGGUUUAAUUCGAUGCAACGCGAAGAACCUUACCUGGUCUUGACAUCCACGGAAGUUUUCAGAGAUGAGAAUGUGCCUUCGGGAACCGUGAGACAGGUGCUGCAUGGCUGUCGUCAGCUCGUGUUGUGAAAUGUUGGGUUAAGUCCCGCAACGAGCGCAACCCUUAUCCUUUGUUGCCAGCGGUCCGGCCGGGAACUCAAAGGAGACUGCCAGUGAUAAACUGGAGGAAGGUGGGGAUGACGUCAAGUCAUCAUGGCCCUUACGACCAGGGCUACACACGUGCUACAAUGGCGCAUACAAAGAGAAGCGACCUCGCGAGAGCAAGCGGACCUCAUAAAGUGCGUCGUAGUCCGGAUUGGAGUCUGCAACUCGACUCCAUGAAGUCGGAAUCGCUAGUAAUCGUGGAUCAGAAUGCCACGGUGAAUACGUUCCCGGGCCUUGUACACACCGCCCGUCACACCAUGGGAGUGGGUUGCAAAAGAAGUAGGUAGCUUAACCUUCGGGAGGGCGCUUACCACUUUGUGAUUCAUGACUGGGGUGAAGUCGUAACAAGGUAACCGUAGGGGAACCUGCGGUUGGAUCACCUCCUU